UUGGAGGGCAAGUCUGGUGCCAGCAGCCGCGGUAAUUCCAGCUCCAAUAGCGUAUAUUAAAGUUGUUGCAGUUAAAAAGCUCGUAGUUGAAUUUCGGGGUUAGCAAGUUGGUCGUGCCACUGGUAUGUACUGGCUUUGCUGAUUCCUCCUUCUUGUAGAACCGUAAUGCCAUUUAUUUGGUGUUGCGGGGAAACAGGACUGUUACUUUGAAAAAAUUAGAGUG
RNAcentral lists this ribosomal RNA (223 nucleotides) under Glomeraceae sp. RNAcentral's name for it is "partial small subunit ribosomal RNA". It matches the Rfam family "Eukaryotic small subunit ribosomal RNA", at positions 548 to 773 of the family's 1831-position model. Lineage: Eukaryota; Fungi; Glomeromycota; Glomeromycetes; Glomerales; Glomeraceae. The record is from RNAcentral.